AUACGGAGGGUGCAAGCGUUACUCGGAAUCACUGGGCGUAAAGCGCGCGCAGGCGGCUAUUUAAGUUGGAUGUGAAAGCCUACGGCUCAACCGUAGAACUGCAUCCAAAGCUAUUUAGCUAGAGUGUGGGAGAGGAAGAUGGAAUUAGUUGUGUAGGGGUAAAAUCCGUAGAGAUAACUAGGAAUACCAAAAGCGAAGGCAAUCUUCUGGAACACUACUGACGCUGAGGCGCGAAAGCGUGGGGAGCAAACGGGAUUAGAAACCCUAGUAGUCC
This 274-nucleotide ribosomal RNA is filed under the name uncultured bacterium. RNAcentral's name for it is "partial 16S ribosomal RNA". It matches the Rfam family "Bacterial small subunit ribosomal RNA", at positions 523 to 796 of the family's 1533-position model. The record is from RNAcentral.